This 389-nucleotide ribosomal RNA is filed under the name uncultured bacterium. RNAcentral's name for it is "bacterial SSU rRNA". It matches the Rfam family "Bacterial small subunit ribosomal RNA", at positions 28 to 417 of the family's 1533-position model. The record is from RNAcentral.
GACGAACGCUGGCGGCGUGCUUAACACAUGCAAGUCGAGCGGUAAGGCCCUUUCGGGGGUACACGAGCGGCGAACGGGUGAGUAACACGUGGGUGACCUGCCUUUAGCUCUGGGAUAAGCCUGGGAAACCGGGUCUAUACCGGAUAUGACUCCGCGGCGCAUGUUGUGGGGGUGGAAAGCCUUGUGCGGCUGGAGAUGGGGCCCGCGGCCUAUCAGCUUGUUGGUGGGGUGAUGGCCUACCAAGGCGACGACGGGUAGCCGGCCUGAGAGGGCGACCGGCCACACUGGGACUGAGACACGGCCCAGACUCCUACGGGAGGCAGCAGUGGGGAAUCUUGCGCAAUGGGCGAAAGCCUGACGCAGCGACGCCGCGUGAGGGAUGACGGCCU